UGGCCCGUGGUGUAACGGUAGCACCCCAGAUUUUGGUUCUGGUUGUCCUGGUUCGAAUCCAGGCGGGUCAG
Molecule: transfer RNA, 71 nt
Filed under: Phycisphaeraceae bacterium
Lineage: Bacteria; Pseudomonadati; Planctomycetota; Phycisphaerae; Phycisphaerales; Phycisphaeraceae
Also listed under: 1 other name
Description: tRNA-Gln
Rfam family: tRNA
About the family: Transfer RNA (tRNA) molecules are approximately 80 nucleotides in length. Their secondary structure includes four short double-helical elements and three loops (D, anti-codon, and T loops).
Source: RNAcentral